Molecule: long non-coding RNA, 526 nt
Filed under: Gossypium barbadense (sea-island cotton)
Lineage: Eukaryota; Viridiplantae; Streptophyta; Magnoliopsida; Malvales; Malvaceae
Description: long non-coding RNA (GBAR_LNC016386)
Source: RNAcentral
AGCAAAGUCUUAAGCAACAAGCUUCAAUGACUUGCAGUACACAACAAAGGAAUCAAGCUUUUGAACUAAGAAUGAAACUUCUUAUCUUAGAACCAAAACGAGAAGAAAAAUUACUGAAAGAUUCAACAUCAUUGAUAACUGAAGUUUACACCCUUUUAAAAAAGUAAUCAGCUUGAGUAAAAAAAACAGUCAACUAAAACAUACCUAACAUCACUAAUUCAUCUUGAAACUUAUAAAAAUUAAUUUGUACACAUAAAUAAGCUGAUUUGAUCAAGUCAAUCAGCACCUAAUCAAAACAAACACAUUACUAACUUAGUUCAAAUGUAACUAAGUAACAAAAUACAAACAAGGUCAGCAUGUUGUCCUGCUACAAGAUGCAUGCGACAAAAUAUUGACUUGGUUGCAUGUAAGCCAUUCUUUAACACUCCUCAUUGGCUUUCAUGCUACAAACUCCCAAAUUAACUCUUUAGUUCUCGAACCUUGCUAUUCCAAGAGGCUUUGUCAAGAUGUCUGUCAACUAAUCUUC